GAUGAACGCUAGCGAUAGGCUUAACACAUGCAAGUCGAGGGGUAACGUGUUGGAAGCUUGCUUCCGAUGACGACGACCGGCGGAUGGGUGCGUAACGCGUAUGCAACUUGCCUCACAGAGGAGAAUAACCCGGAGAAAUCCGGACUAAUGCUCCAUACACUCUUUAGCACGCCUGUGCGUAAGAGGAAAGAUUUAUCGCUGUGAGAUAGGCAUGCGUCCUAUUAGGUAGUUGGUGAGGUAACGGCUCACCAAGCCGACGAUAGGUAGGGGUGCUGAGAGGCAGAUCCCCCACAUUGGGACUGAGACACGGCCCAAACUCCUACGGGAGGCAGCAGUGAGGAAUAUUGGUCAAUGGAGGAAACUCUGAACCAGCCAAGUCGCGUGAAGGAAGAAUGUCCUAAGGAUUGUAAACUUCUUUAGCGAGCGAGUAAGGACUUCCACGCGUUGGGAGUUUGAAAGUAGCUCGAGAAUAAGUAUCGGCUAACUCCGUGCCAGCAGCCGCGGUAAUACGGAGGAUACGAGCGUUAUCCGGAUUUAUUGGGUUUAAAGGGUGCGCAGGUGGUCCUGCAAGUCAGUGGUGAAAAGCUGAGGCUCAACCUCAGCCUUGCCGUUGAAACUGCAAGACUUGAGAGUACAUGAUGUGGGCGGAAUGCGUAGUGUAGUGGUGAAAUGCAUAGAUAUUACGCAGAACUCCGAUUGCGAAGGCAGCUCACAAAGGUAUAUCUGACACUGAGGCACGAAAGCGUGGGGAGCAAACAGGAUUAGGUACCCUGGUAGUCCACGCCGUAAACGAUGAUUACUCGAAGUAUGCGAUAUGACAGUAUGCUUCCAAGCGAAAGUGAUAAGUAAUCCACCUGGGAGUACGCCGGCAACGGUGAAACUCAAAGGAAUUGACGGGGGCCCGCACAAGCGGAGGAACAUGUGGUUUAAUUCGAUGAUACGCGAGGAACCUUACCCGGGAUUGAAAUGUAUGUGCACCUCUUGGGAAACCGAGAGGGUUCUCUUCGGAGACACAUAUGUAGGUGCUGCAUGGUUGUCGUCAGCUCGUGCCGUGAGGUGUCGGCUUAAGUGCCAUAACGAGCGCAACCCUUAUCGUUAGUUACUAACAGGUUAAGCUGAGGACUCUGGCGAGACUGCCGUCGUAAGGCGAGAGGAAGGUGGGGAUGACGUCAAAUCAGCACGGCCCUUACAUCCGGGGCGACACACGUGUUACAAUGGUAGGGACAGAGAGUAGCCACUCGGUGACGAGGAGCGGAUCUUGAAACCCUAUCUCAGUUCGGAUCGGAGUCUGCAACUCGACUCCGUGAAGCCGGAUUCGCUAGUAAUCGCGCAUCAGCCAUGGCGCGGUGAAUACGUUCCCGGGCCU
Molecule: ribosomal RNA, 1366 nt
Filed under: uncultured bacterium
Lineage: Bacteria
Description: bacterial SSU rRNA
Rfam family: Bacterial small subunit ribosomal RNA
Source: RNAcentral